RNAcentral lists this transfer RNA (72 nucleotides) under Marmota monax (woodchuck). RNAcentral describes it as "tRNA.Ala". Lineage: Eukaryota; Metazoa; Chordata; Mammalia; Rodentia; Sciuridae. The record is from RNAcentral.
GCUGGGAUAUAGCUUAGUGGUAGAGCACUUGCCUAGCAUGCAUGAGGCCUUGUGUUCAAUCAAUCCCCAGCA